Molecule: non-coding RNA, 203 nt
Filed under: Oceaniovalibus guishaninsula
Lineage: Bacteria; Pseudomonadati; Pseudomonadota; Alphaproteobacteria; Rhodobacterales; Roseobacteraceae
Also listed under: 1 other name
Source: RNAcentral
CGCAUGUCGCAUUCCGAUGGUGCCUGUGUAAACAGGUGAAAAGGGAAUGCGCGACCGGGACCGCCCGGCAGGGCGCAGCCGCCCCCGCGACCGUGACCGAAGGGGUCGCCCGAUGCCACUGGCCGACAGGCCGGGAAGGCGGGCGACCGUCAGGAUCCCUGACCUUCGCAAGCCGGGAGACCUGCCAUCGGCGACGACGAAAC